CUCGCUGAAACAAAGGACCCCAUACGCGUUCAGCCUCAUCUUAAAAAAUGCUUUGAAGGGAUUGCAAGUCUUGUUUUCCAAGAUGGCACCAAGAUUAUCGCCAUGUGUUCAAGCGAAAAUGAAAAGGUGAAGCUCAAGGAGGUGAUUGAGCCAGCCAAUGCAAAGGGGGCAGUUGAAAAGUGGCUAUUACAGG
Non-coding RNA from Batrachochytrium salamandrivorans, 193 nucleotides. NCBI's taxonomy places the organism in Eukaryota, Fungi, Chytridiomycota, Chytridiomycetes, Rhizophydiales. The record is from Rfam.